Molecule: non-coding RNA, 161 nt
Organism: Actinobacteria bacterium OK006
Lineage: Bacteria; Bacillati; Actinomycetota; Actinomycetes
Source: Rfam
AUAUCCCAGCCACCCACACACACGCACGGCAGGAGCGGGGGACCCAGGUAAGCCGCCGAUCCGGACACCGGAACGGCUAGGGGUGAAGUCGCACACACCGUGCGGCCGGGCAGCUCCCGCCCGAACCCGACAGCUCACCUCGCAGGCGCCGGAGAGGAAUU